Molecule: ribosomal RNA, 253 nt
Filed under: uncultured bacterium
Lineage: Bacteria
Description: partial 16S ribosomal RNA
Rfam family: Bacterial small subunit ribosomal RNA
Source: RNAcentral
GACGAACCGUGCGAACGUUGUUCGGAAUCACUGGGCUUAAAGGGCGCGUAGGCGGGCGCAUCAGUCCGGGGUGAAAGCCCGCGGCCCAACCGCGGAAGUGCCCCGGAGACGGUGCGCCUCGAGGGGGGUAGGGGCGUGCGGAACUUCCGGUGGAGCGGUGAAAUGCGUAGAUAUCGGAAGGAACACCGGUGGCGAAAGCGGCGCGCUGGACCUCUUCUGACGCUGAGGCGCGAAAGCCAGGGGAGCAAACGGG